RNAcentral lists this long non-coding RNA (307 nucleotides) under Setaria viridis. RNAcentral's name for it is "long non-coding RNA (SVIR_LNC003972)". The record is from RNAcentral. Lineage: Eukaryota; Viridiplantae; Streptophyta; Magnoliopsida; Poales; Poaceae.
GAGAUUGUCGCAUGUAUUCAAGAUGUGGAUCGACUUACUUAGGGGCUAUCAAACGCUACACCGUGACAGGGUAGUUAAAAAGGUAGUUUUCGGGUUUGUCAAGAAGCAUGUUGUGAGACAUGGUCAAUCAAGAUGGGAUUUUGCCCCUCUCUGAUUGAGAGUGAUAUCUCUGGGCCCCUUGAGUGAUUGGAUCCGGAAAUGCAUGGCCAUGCUACAUACGGUUAAGAGUUAACCUACAAAGGGAUUCCGAAUCACAGGAUCGAGAAAGAGCGGUCGGCUUGGAGCUAGACCAAAUAUCAUGAGGCAA